AUUGAACGCUGGCGGAAUGCUUUACACAUGCAAGUCGAGCGGCAGCGCGGGGCAACCUGGCGGCGAGCGGCGAACGGGUGAGUAAUGUAUCGGAACGUACCCAGUCGUGGGGGAUAACUAUCCGAAAGGAUAGCUAAUACCGCAUACGUCCUGAGGGAGAAAGCGGGGGAUCGCAAGACCUCGCGCGAUUGGAGCGGCCGAUAUCGGAUUAGCUAGUUGGUGAGGUAAAGGCUCACCAAGGCGACGAUCCGUAGCUGGUCUGAGAGGACGACCAGCCACACUGGAACUGAGACACGGUCCAGACUCCUACGGGAGGCAGCAGUGGGGAAUUUUGGACAAUGGGGGCAACCCUGAUCCAGCCAUUCCGCGUGAGUGAAGAAGGCCUCGGUG
RNAcentral lists this ribosomal RNA (390 nucleotides) under uncultured bacterium. RNAcentral describes it as "bacterial SSU rRNA". It matches the Rfam family "Bacterial small subunit ribosomal RNA", at positions 29 to 422 of the family's 1533-position model. The record is from RNAcentral.